CUGCCUCUGACAGGCAGCUGCAAGGCCCGUGGGAGGCAGGAGGCCAGGGAGCCCUUGCAUGGAGCCAGAGGUACCAGGCUCACUGAGCAGGCAUCAAGUGAGGGGGGGGGGGUCGAAGGAGGCCUCUGAGCCUGUGCGGGCUCCACCUGGUCAGCACUUCGCGGACCUGGGGAGCUGGGAAAGCUGCACUGUGGCAGCCCAAGCCAGAGGCGGAGGCUGCUUUAGGUCUCAGGCUGUGGAGGAGGAAAACAGGGCCUUGGAAGACUGAGCCUGCACACAGAGGCCACAUGCUUUGGGAGCAGCACACAGAACCAGUAACAUUCAGACCUGCCUAGCUCAGGAGCCGUUCCUGGUGGCCCGGAGCAAGCUGCAAGAGAACACGGCAAGACACAGGUUGAGGGAACAGUCACCGGGGAUGCAGCCCUCCAUGACUCCUGUGUGGGGGAUUAACGGAUGCUGUCACCACAGUGCACUCUAUUCCUUGCCUGGUUUUUAAAUGAGCGCUCCAUUUUCUCUAAUUCUGCUUCCACUUCACCGAUUCGCCGCCUAAAAAUAAUACUUAGCAGUUAGAAUCAAAUAAAUUCUGAAACAAUCUGA
Cavia porcellus (domestic guinea pig) is the source of this 597-nucleotide long non-coding RNA. RefSeq lists it as uncharacterized. The transcript is spliced from 2 exons. NCBI's taxonomy places the organism in Eukaryota, Metazoa, Chordata, Mammalia, Rodentia, Caviidae. The record is from RefSeq and is a predicted model, not a curated record.